Molecule: RNase P RNA, 377 nt
Filed under: Thermus brevis
Lineage: Bacteria; Thermotogati; Deinococcota; Deinococci; Thermales; Thermaceae
Description: Thermus sp. SYSU G05001 RNase P RNA component class A
Rfam family: Bacterial RNase P class A
About the family: Ribonuclease P (RNase P) is a ubiquitous endoribonuclease, found in archaea, bacteria and eukarya as well as chloroplasts and mitochondria. Its best characterised activity is the generation of mature 5'-ends of tRNAs by cleaving the 5'-leader elements of precursor-tRNAs.
Source: RNAcentral
GGACAGGGGGGCGGUCGCGCCCGGGAGCCGAACCUCCCGGGUGAGGAAAGUCCGGGCACCAAAGGGCAGGGUGCCAGCUAACGGCUGGGCGGGGUAACCCGACGGAAAGUGCCACAGAGAAAAGACCGCCAGCGGCCAGGCCAAGGCCUGGUGCGGGCAAGGGUGAAACGGUGGGGUAAGAGCCCACCGCGCCUCCUGGAAACAGGGGCGGCACGGCAAACCCCACCCGGUGCAAGGCCCAGUAGAGGGGAAGGGCUUGCCCGGCCCGCCACAACCCCUGGGAUGGGCCGCUUGAGGCCGGCGGCGACGCCGGCCCCAGAGAGAUGUGUCAUGCGUCAUGCUUUAGGUCAGUAAGCGCUCACGCUCUAGGUCAGUUU